GACGAACGCUGGCGGCGUGCCUAAUACAUGCAAGUAGAACGCUGAAGGAGGAGCUUGCUCUUCUGGAUGAGUUGCGAACGGGUGAGUAACGCGUAGGUAACCUGCCUGGUAGCGGGGGAUAACUAUUGGAAACGAUAGCUAAUACCGCAUAAGAGUAGAUGUUGCAUGACAUUUACUUAAAAGGUGCAAUUGCAUCACUACCAGAUGGACCUGCGUUGUAUUAGCUAGUUGGUGUGGUAACGGCUUACCAAGGCGACGAUACAUAGCCGACCUGAGAGGGUGAGCGGCCGCACUGGGACUGAGACACGGCCCAGAGGCCUACGGGAGGCAGCAGUAGGGAAUCUGCGGCAAUGGACGGAAGUCUGACCGAGCAACGCCGCGUGAGUGAGGAAGGUUGUCGGAUCGGAAAGCUCUGUUGUAAGGGAAGAACGAGUGUGAGAGUGGAAAGUUCACACUGUGACGGUAUCUGACCAGAAAGGGACGGCUAACUACGUG
RNAcentral lists this ribosomal RNA (495 nucleotides) under uncultured bacterium. Its description in RNAcentral is "partial 16S ribosomal RNA". It matches the Rfam family "Bacterial small subunit ribosomal RNA", at positions 28 to 507 of the family's 1533-position model. The record is from RNAcentral.